This 165-nucleotide ribosomal RNA is filed under the name uncultured bacterium. RNAcentral's name for it is "partial 16S rRNA". It matches the Rfam family "Bacterial small subunit ribosomal RNA", at positions 355 to 511 of the family's 1533-position model. The record is from RNAcentral.
UAGGGAAUCUUCCACAAUGGACGCAAGUCUGAUGGAGCAACGCCGCGUGAGUGAAGAAGGUCUUCGGGAUCGUAAAACUCUGUUGUUAGAGAAGAACACGAGUGAGAGUAACUGUUCAUUCGAUGACGGUAUCUAACCAGCAAGUCACGGCUAACUACGUGUCAG